This 370-nucleotide ribosomal RNA is filed under the name uncultured eukaryote. RNAcentral's name for it is "partial 18S ribosomal RNA". It matches the Rfam family "Eukaryotic small subunit ribosomal RNA", at positions 592 to 976 of the family's 1831-position model. The record is from RNAcentral.
CAAUAGCGUAUAUUAAAGUUGUUGCAGUUAAAAAGCUCGUAGUUGGAUUUCUGGUCGGAAGCUUCUGUCCUCUGAUGAGCGUACAAGUGCGUCCUACCAUUCUUCUGUUAACCUUUAAGGCUUUCGCGGCUUUCUAGGGGCUCAGAUAUUUUACCUUGAGAAAAUUAGAGUGUUUCAGGCAGGCUAGCGCCGGAAUACAUUAGCAUGGAAUAAUGGAAUAGGACUUUUGCCUCUUCUGUUGGUCAUGAGGCUCGAGUAAUGAUUAAUAGGGAUAGUUGGGGGCAUUAGUACUUAACUGUCAGAGGUGAAAUUCUCGGAUUUGUUAAAGACUAACUUAUGCGAAAGCAUUUGCCAAGGAUGUUUUCAUUAA